This 580-nucleotide ribosomal RNA is filed under the name Salmonella enterica. Its description in RNAcentral is "partial 23S ribosomal RNA". It matches the Rfam family "Bacterial large subunit ribosomal RNA", at positions 2351 to 2925 of the family's 2925-position model. Lineage: Bacteria; Pseudomonadati; Pseudomonadota; Gammaproteobacteria; Enterobacterales; Enterobacteriaceae. The record is from RNAcentral.
GCAAUGGCAUAAGCCAGCUUGACUGCGAGCGUGACGGCGCGAGCAGGUGCGAAAGCAGGUCAUAGUGAUCCGGUGGUUCUGAAUGGAAGGGCCAUCGCUCAACGGAUAAAAGGUACUCCGGGGAUAACAGGCUGAUACCGCCCAAGAGUUCAUAUCGACGGCGGUGUUUGGCACCUCGAUGUCGGCUCAUCACAUCCUGGGGCUGAAGUAGGUCCCAAGGGUAUGGCUGUUCGCCAUUUAAAGUGGUACGCGAGCUGGGUUUAGAACGUCGUGAGACAGUUCGGUCCCUAUCUGCCGUGGGCGCUGGAAGAUUGAGGGGGGCUGCUCCUAGUACGAGAGGACCGGAGUGGACGCAUCACUGGUGUUCGGGUUGUCAUGCCAAUGGCACUGCCCGGUAGCUACAUGCGGAAGAGAUAAGUGCUGAAAGCAUCUAAGCACGAAACUUGCCCCGAGAUGAAUCUUCCCUGAGCCUUUAAGGCUCCUGAAGGAACGUUGAAGACGACGACGUUGAUAGGCCGGGUGUGUAAGCGCAGCGAUGCGUUGAGCUAACCGGUACUAAUGAACCGUGAGGCUUAACCUU